GGAGUUGGUAGCUCAGUGGUAGAGUGCUUUGUAUGAUGUCCUGGGUUCAAUCCCCAGCUUCUCCC
RNAcentral lists this transfer RNA (65 nucleotides) under Dallia pectoralis (Alaska blackfish). RNAcentral describes it as "tRNA-OTHER". Lineage: Eukaryota; Metazoa; Chordata; Actinopteri; Esociformes; Umbridae. The record is from RNAcentral.